GUUGAACGCUGGCGGCAGGCCUAACACAUGCAAGUCGAGCGGAUGAAGGGAGCUUGCUCCUGGAUUCAGCGGCGGACGGGUGAGUAAUGCCUAGGAAUCUGCCUGGUAGUGGGGGAUAACGUCCGGAAACGGGCGCUAAUACCGCAUACGUCCUGAGGGAGAAAGUGGGGGAUCUUCGGACCUCACGCUAUCAGAUGAGCCUAGGUCGGAUUAGCUAGUUGGUGGGGUAAAGGCCUACCAAGGCGACGAUCCGUAACUGGUCUGAGAGGAUGAUCAGUCACACUGGAACUGAGACACGGUCCAGACUCCUACGGGAGGCAGCAGUGGGGAAUAUUGGACAAUGGGCGAAAGCCCGAUCCAGCCAUGCCGCGUGUGUGAAGAAGGUCUUCGGAUUGUAAAGCACUUUAAGUUGGGAGGAAGGGCAGUAAGUUAAUACCUUGCUGUUUUGACGUUACCAACAGAAUAAGCACCGGCUAACUUCGUG
Molecule: ribosomal RNA, 484 nt
Filed under: uncultured bacterium
Lineage: Bacteria
Description: partial 16S ribosomal RNA
Rfam family: Bacterial small subunit ribosomal RNA
Source: RNAcentral